UGCCAGCCGCCGCGGUAAGACGGAGGGUCCUAGCGUUGUUCGGAAUGACUGGGCGUAAAGGGUACGUAGGCGGUUUGGUCAGUUAGAUGUGAAAGCCCAGGGCUCAACCUUGGAACUGCAUUUAAUACUGCCAGACUUGAGAUCGGAAGAGGAAAGCGGAAUUUCUAGUGUAGAGGUGAAAUUCGUAGAUAUUAGAAGGAACAUCAGAGGCGAAGGCGGCUUUCUGGUCCGAUACUGACGCUGAGGUACGAAAGCGUGGGGAGCAAACAGGAUUAGAUA
RNAcentral lists this ribosomal RNA (279 nucleotides) under uncultured bacterium. RNAcentral's name for it is "partial 16S ribosomal RNA". It matches the Rfam family "Bacterial small subunit ribosomal RNA", at positions 506 to 784 of the family's 1533-position model. The record is from RNAcentral.